GAUGAACGCUGGCGGCGUGCCUAACACAUGCCAGUCGAGCGAACAGAUGAGGAGUUUGCUCCUCUGACGUUAGCGGCGGACGGGUGAGUAACAUGUGGAUAACUUACCUAUAAGACUGGGAUAACUUCGGGAAACCGGAGCUAAUACCGGAUAAUAUAUUGAACCGCAUGGUUCAAUAGUGAAAGACGGCUUUGCUGUUACUUAUAGAUGGAUUGGCGCGUGAUUAGCGAGUUGGUGGGGGAAAGGCCUACCAAGGCGACGAUGCGUAGCGGGCCGGAGAGGACGACGAGCCACACUGGGACUGAGACACGGCCCAGACUCCGACGGGAGGCAGCAGUGGGGAAUUUUGGACAAUGGGCGAAAGCCUGAUCCAGCAAUGCCGCGUGGGUGAAGAAGGCCUGCGGGUGGUAAAGCACUUUUGUCCGGAAAGAAAUCCUUGGCCCUAAUACGGUCGGGGGAUGACGGUACCGGAAGAAUAAGCAACGGCUAACUACGUG
RNAcentral lists this ribosomal RNA (497 nucleotides) under uncultured bacterium. Its description in RNAcentral is "partial 16S ribosomal RNA". It matches the Rfam family "Bacterial small subunit ribosomal RNA", at positions 28 to 507 of the family's 1533-position model. The record is from RNAcentral.